Molecule: microRNA, 22 nt
Filed under: Anolis carolinensis (green anole)
Lineage: Eukaryota; Metazoa; Chordata; Lepidosauria; Squamata; Anolidae
Description: aca-miR-5411
Source: miRBase by way of RNAcentral
UUUGGAUAUCCUAUGCUUAGAG